UAAGUUAUCGUUCAUUUGAUAGCACCUUACUACUUGGACAACCGUGGUAAUUCUAGAGCUAAUACAUGCUGAAAACCCCGACGUCAGGAGGGGUGUAUUUAUUAGAUUAAAAGCCAAUGCCCCCCGGGCUCUCUGGUGAUUCAUGAUAACUUGGCGGAUCGCACGGCCUUGCGCCGGCGAUGGUUCAUACAAAUUUCUUCCCUAUCAACUUUCGAUGUUUGGGUCUUGGCCAAACAUGGUUGCAACGGGUAACGGAGGGUUAGGGCUCGACCCCGGAGAAGGAGCCUGAGAGACGGCUACUACAUCCAAGGAAGGCAGCAGGCGCGCAAAUUACCCAAUCCCGACCCGGGGAGGUAGUGACAAUAAAUACUGAUACAGGGCUCUUUUGGGUCUUGUAAUUGGAAUGAGUACAUCCUAAAUCCCUUAACGAGGAACAAUUGGAGGGCAAGUCUGGUGCCAGCAGCCGCGGUAAUUCCAGCUCCAAUAGCGUAUAUUAAAGUUGUUGUGGUUAAAAAGCUCGUAGUUGAACCUCGGGCCUGGCUGGCCGGUCCGCCUCACCGCGUGCACUGGUCCGGCCGGGUCUUUCCCUCUGCGGAACCCCAUGCCCUUCGCUGGGCGUGGCGGGGAAACAGGACUUUUACUUUGAAAAAAUUAGAGUGCUCCAGGCAGGCCUAUGCUCGAAUACAUUAGCAUGGAAUAAUGAAAUAGGACGCGCGGUUCUAUUUUGUUGGUUUCUAGGACAGCCGUAAUGAUUGAUAGGGACAGUCGGGGGCAUCAGUAUUCAAUUGUCAGAGGUGAAAUUCUUGGAUUUAUUGAAGACUCACUACUGCGAAAGCAUUUGCCAAGGAUGUUUUCAUUAAUCAGGAACGAAAGUUAGGGGAUCGAAGACGAUCAGAUACCGUCGUAGUCUUAACCAUAAACUAUGCCGACUAGGGAUCGGACGAUGUUACUCC
RNAcentral lists this ribosomal RNA (953 nucleotides) under Paraisaria amazonica. Its description in RNAcentral is "SSU rRNA". It matches the Rfam family "Eukaryotic small subunit ribosomal RNA", at positions 106 to 1069 of the family's 1831-position model. The record is from RNAcentral. Lineage: Eukaryota; Fungi; Ascomycota; Sordariomycetes; Hypocreales; Ophiocordycipitaceae.